RNAcentral lists this ribosomal RNA (433 nucleotides) under uncultured bacterium. Its description in RNAcentral is "partial 16S ribosomal RNA". It matches the Rfam family "Bacterial small subunit ribosomal RNA", at positions 29 to 507 of the family's 1533-position model. The record is from RNAcentral.
AACGAACGCUGGCGGCAUGCCUAACACAUGCAAGUCGAACGAGACCUUCGGGUCUAGUGGCGCACGGGUGCGUAACGCGUGGGAAUCUGCCCUUGGGUUCGGAAUAACAGUUGGAAACGACUGCUAAUACCGGAUGAUGACGUAAGUCAAAAGAUUUAUCGCCCAAGGAUGAGCCCGCGUAGGAUUAGCUAGUUGGUGAGGUAAAGGCUCACCAAGGCGACGAUCCUUAGCUGGUCUGAGAGGCUGAUCAGCCACACUGGGACUGAGACACGGCCCAGACUCCUGCGGGAGGGAGCAGUGGGGAAUAUUGGACGAUGGGCGAGAGCCUGAUCCAGCAAUGCCGCGUAAGUGAUGAAGGCCUGAGGGUUGUAAAGCUCUUUUACCCGGGAUGAUAAUGACAGUACCGGGAGAAUAAGCACCGGCUAACUCCGUG